RNAcentral lists this ribosomal RNA (476 nucleotides) under uncultured organism. Its description in RNAcentral is "partial 16S ribosomal RNA". It matches the Rfam family "Bacterial small subunit ribosomal RNA", at positions 329 to 797 of the family's 1533-position model. The record is from RNAcentral.
ACGUACACUCCUGCGGGAGGCAGCAGUGGGGAAUUUUGGACAAUGGGCGCAAGCCUGAUCCAGCCAUGCCGCGUGCGGGAAGAAGGCCUUCGGGUUGUAAACCGCUUUUGUCAGGGAAGAAAAGGUUCUGGCUAAUACCUGGGACUCAUGACGGUACCUGAAGAAUAAGCACCGGCUAACUACGUGCCAGCAGCCGCGGUAAUACGUAGGGUGCAAGCGUUAAUCGGAAUUACUGGGCGUAAAGCGUGCGCAGGCGGUUAUGCAAGACAGAGGUGAAAUCCCCGGGCUCAACCUGGGAACUGCCUUUGUGACUGCAUGGCUAGAGUACGGUAGAGGGGGAUGGAAUUCCGCGUGUAGCAGUGAAAUGCGUAGAUAUGCGGAGGAACACCGAUGGCGAAGGCAAUCCCCUGGACCUGUACUGACGCUCAUGCACGAAAGCGUGGGGAGCAAACAGGAUUAGAAACCCCGGUAGUCCC